Molecule: long non-coding RNA, 111 nt
Organism: Haliotis rubra (blacklip abalone)
Lineage: Eukaryota; Metazoa; Mollusca; Gastropoda; Lepetellida; Haliotidae
Exons: 3
Source: RefSeq, a predicted model, not a curated record
UAAUUACUAGUUUUAAAUUUAUUUCUGUGAUAAUCUAGUUGUUUUACUGUCAUUUGCAGACAGGUAAGUAUAUAUGCUAACUUUCUUUUUAUUUAUUUAUAUAUAUACAAC